Molecule: RNA transcript, 2572 nt
Organism: Apis cerana (Asiatic honeybee)
Lineage: Eukaryota; Metazoa; Arthropoda; Insecta; Hymenoptera; Apidae
Gene: Alr
Gene name: Evr1_Alr domain-containing protein Alr
Source: RefSeq, a predicted model, not a curated record
UCUUUUUCAUCACUCAACGUGAAUGUAGGAACAAUGUAUGUUUUGAGCUUUUCUCUCCAUAUCUUUUGUGUUUCGUAACACUAUAACGUUAUUAUUACAUUUCUUAACUGAAAUGAGUCGCAAGUUGUUAUAUAUAAAGGUGAACAAAUCACUUUCAUAAAAGAGGUUAUCCUCAACGUGAAGAUAUUGUUAAUUACAACAUUUUUUAAAUAUAUCUACGAAUGUAUACUUCGACUUUAGCAAUAGAAUGUCUAACGAAAAACCUUGUCGUGCAUGUAUGGAUUUUAAAUCAUGGGCAAAAAGUCAAAGAAAGACUUUGGAAUCCGAAAAGGAAUCUGAGGAAAAGAAGAAGAAAAGUCCAUCUGUAAAUAAAAUUAAACGUAAUGAUUGUCCAUUAGAUAAAGAUGAAUUAGGUUCAGUAACAUGGUCAUUUUUACAUACUAUGGCAGCAUAUUAUCCUAAUAAUCCAAGUGAAGAACAAAAGUCAGAUAUGAAACAGUUUUUUCAUAUAUUUUCUAAGUUUUAUCCUUGCAAUGUAUGUGCAGAAGAUUUACAGGAACAAUUAAAACAUUCCCCACCAGAAACUAAUUCACAGGAACAGUUGAGCCAAUGGCUUUGUAAAAUACAUAAUGAGGUAAAUAGAAAACUUGGAAAACCAGAAUUUGAUUGUAAACUUGUUGAUCAAAAAUGGAAAUAUGGUUGGCUUGAUGGUUCAUGUGAUUGAUGAUCACUAAUUAUAGUUGUGUAAAUUUUGUAAUGAAAGCUAUAUGUGAUAUAAAACAUCAUGUAUAUGCUUAUUAUUAAGAUUGUAAAAUAGAUGGUGUUAAAUGUGAAAUAGUGAAUGCAGAACUUGCUGUUCUAAUAUUGGGUUCAUAACUGUGAUCUUGUCCUUCACCACCAAUUGGCAUAACUUGACAUGUUCUGAUAUGAAAUGGAAAACGUUUAUUAGCCAUAGAUGGCCUAGUGAUAUAUAAAAAUACUAUAUGUCCCAUAAAAACAGUCCAUAAUGAACAGCCUUUAGCAACACUCUCUCUUACCCAUUCAUCUACUAAUAAAGUAAUGCAGAGUACCUAUAAAAUCAUAAAUAUGCUUUUACAUAUUGAAGAAUAAAUAAAUUCUUUACAUUUUAUUACAUAAUAUUUUGUUAUGUAUAGAAUCAAAUGUAUAUUUUUAUGUACCGUUAAUGGAUGACAUAAAAACCAUGCUGAUCCCAAUGAAAAUAAUGAACCAUAAAAGUGAAGUUUUGUUGACAUUUUUCUAACAGUCUUAAAACAACGAAGAGAAAAUAUAAUCCAAGCAAUCAACUUUAAUAUUAUUAAUCCAUAACCUGGUGGUGACUCAUAAAUAUACAAUACCAAUCCAGGAUCAAAGAUAUCAGAUUGAUAAAUAUAUAAUGAAAAUUGACAAAAUGAAAUCAAGCAAAUAAAACAUAUGAGCCAUCGAAUUUGUUUUGAUGUUAAAACACUUUUAGUUACUGUAAAACCAAGUGCUAGUAAUAACAUAAGUACAGUAUAUAAAAUAUCUGAACAUGCUUCUAGGAGUUGACCAAAUAAAGAAGCACUUUCUAUUGAUAUUCCUCUCAAACCAAGAUUUAUAUAACUAUAAAUUUCAAAUAAUACUCCCAUUAAUUGACAAAGUAAUGAAGCCAUAAAUAUUUUAUAAGAUAUAUGUAAUAAUCUUCUUGCUCUUAGUUGCAUAGCUAAAUAAAAACUUAAUAUUACAAGUAUCACAUAAAUAAAAGCAAUAAUUAAUAAUUCUGGCAGUAUAUCUGAAAAAAAUGGAUUUAAGUAAAUAAUAUUAAAUAAUUUUAAAUUAAGAGAAUGUUACUUACAAAAUUCAUCUGCUGAAAAGUGUUCUUUCCAGAAAUUCUCAUGUGGUGCAUUUGUUAAUGAUAUCCAAUACGAGAUAUUUAAUCCGCUUUUUGAAGAACAAUCUGCUAAGGCAAUGAACCACCAUCUUGGACGAGAUGAUCGAAAUCUACGAUUACUGGAACAUCGUAUUACAGCAUCUUUUUCGAUGCAUCCCGAUUCUUCAAAUGUUACUGUAGAUAGUGGUAUUAUUUGACCAAUUCCAUGCCAAAGUAUAGAUUCUUUUUCAAUGCAUGUUUUGUUCGAAGGAUAAAUACUUGGCCAUUGAUCAGGUGCAUCAUAAUAUAAUAAUAUUUUUAAAUCUUUUUCUUUGCCUCCUAAUUCAAAUUUAUAUCGAAAUAUACCUUGUUCCGUUAAGAAGCAAAAUCUUGCUAAAAAUGCCCAAUUCUAAAAAGAGAAUUAUUUUUUAUAGUAUAAUGGAAAAUUUUAUUGUUUUUUAUCAAAAUAAUAGCAUAUUUUUUAUAUUUACAAUAUAUUUGGGAAGUGAAAAUAAAUCCGUAAUUUUUUAAAUGAUACAGAACCUAUAUAAAAAUAAACAUCAUCGUGCGUGUUAAAGACAUCGUAUAUGAUGUAAAUAAUAAUAUAAAUAAUUUAUAAAGAGGACAUCAAUAUUUCAAACGAAAAAUUAAUCUUUAUACACUUAAAUUACACUGAAUGUGCAAUAUAGCCUCAAUGCGAAAUAUAUUUUUAUAUUGCAAAUAUAA